GCACAAUGUGAGAGGCAAGGAUUCACAGGAUCACAGAAUCAUCUAGGUUGGAAGAGACGUCCAAGAUCACUGAGUCCAACCUCUGACCUAAGACUAACAGUUCUCCACUAAACCUUAUCACUAAGCUC
Molecule: long non-coding RNA, 128 nt
Organism: Oxyura jamaicensis (ruddy duck)
Lineage: Eukaryota; Metazoa; Chordata; Aves; Anseriformes; Anatidae
Exons: 3
Source: RefSeq, a predicted model, not a curated record